RNAcentral lists this small nuclear RNA (120 nucleotides) under Takifugu rubripes (torafugu). RNAcentral describes it as "U5 spliceosomal RNA (ENSTRUG00000028737.1)". It matches the Rfam family "U5 spliceosomal RNA". From Rfam's summary of the family: U5 RNA is a component of both types of known spliceosome. The precise function of this molecule is unknown, though it is known that the 5' loop is required for splice site selection and p220 binding, and that both the 3' stem-loop and the Sm site are important for Sm protein binding and cap methylation. Lineage: Eukaryota; Metazoa; Chordata; Actinopteri; Tetraodontiformes; Tetraodontidae. The record is from Rfam by way of RNAcentral.
CUUGCAUGUGUUCUCUGCAAAGCGUACAAGUCUUUCGCCUUUUACUAAAGACUUUCCGUGCAGAGGAGCAGCAGCGCUUUGUCAGUUGCAUUUUUUGCAGGCUCUGCCACUGGUAAAGCC